CCCGUCGGGAGACACGUUUUGUCAGUUGCUUCCUCUGGAGUCCUUUUAAAAGACUACUUUUUAGAGCAGUUUUCAUUUUACCGAUACAUCGAUCAGAGAGUACGGAGCUUCCCACAUUGCCUCCCGCACCCCAUAGCAGGCAGAGGCACCAGCCAGGCGCCAUCCUUUACAAGCUGUUUCAGCAAAAUGUCCCUGGGAAGGAAAUGACCGCAGAAGGGAGUGCACCGUGGGGGCAGGAGGUGCUGCGGCCAAUGGGCAGUGCUGGGAGAUGAAACCAACAGCGGCGAUUGCCCCAGAAAGAACUUGGCGCUGCUAAGGCAAUGGCGGCCCGAAAGAGGCCCCUGA
Molecule: long non-coding RNA, 345 nt
Filed under: Homo sapiens (human)
Lineage: Eukaryota; Metazoa; Chordata; Mammalia; Primates; Hominidae
Description: non-protein coding LINC00313:21
Source: RNAcentral